UACGGAGGGUGCAAGCGUUAAUCGGAAUUACUGGGCGUAAAGCGCACGCAGGUGGCUGAGUCAGUCGAUUGUGAAAGCCCUGGGCUUAACCUGGGAAUUGCAGUCGAUACUACUCAGCUAGAGUAUGGGAGAGGGUAGUGGAAUUCCCGGUGUAGCGGUGAAAUGCGUAGAUAUCGGGAGGAACAUCAGUGGCGAAGGCGGCUACCUGGCCCAAUACUGACACUCAGGUGCGACAGCGUGGGGAGCAAAAGGG
RNAcentral lists this ribosomal RNA (253 nucleotides) under uncultured bacterium. RNAcentral describes it as "partial 16S ribosomal RNA". It matches the Rfam family "Bacterial small subunit ribosomal RNA", at positions 524 to 776 of the family's 1533-position model. The record is from RNAcentral.